Molecule: ribosomal RNA, 499 nt
Filed under: uncultured bacterium
Lineage: Bacteria
Description: partial 16S ribosomal RNA
Rfam family: Bacterial small subunit ribosomal RNA
Source: RNAcentral
GACGAACCCUGGCGGCGUGCCUAAUACAUGCAAGUCGAGCGGACCGAACAGGAGCUUGCUCUUGUUCGGUUAGCGGCGGACGGGUGAGUAACACGUGGGUAACCUGCCCGUAAGACCGGGAUAACUCCGGGAAACCGGAGCUAAUACCGGAUAACACCGAAGACCGCAUGGUCUUUGGUUGAAAGGCGGCUUCGGCUGCCACUUACGGAUGGGCCCGCGGCGCAUUAGCUAGUUGGUGAGGUAACGGCUCACCAAGGCGACGAUGCGUAGCCGGCCUGAGAGGGUGACCGGCCACACUGGGACUGAGACACGGCCCAGACUCCUACGGGAGGCAGCAGUAGGGAAUCUUCCGCAAUGGACGAAAGUCUGACGGAGCGACGCCGCGUGAGCGAAGAAGGUCUUCGGAUCGUAAAGCUCUGUUGUUAGGGAAGAAGAAGCGUCGUUCGAACAGGGCGGCGCGGUGACGGUACCUAACGAGAAAGCCCCGGCUAACUACGUG